CCUACGGGGGGGCAGCAGUGAGGAAUAUUGGUAAAUGGCCGGAAGGCUGAACCAGCCAAGUCGCGUGAGGGACGACUGCCCUAUGGGUUGUAAACCUCUUUUAUAAGGGAAGAAUAAAUGCUACGUGUAGCAUGAUGCCUGUACCUUAUGAAUAAGCAUCGGCUAACUCCGUGCCAGCCGCCGCGGUAAGUCGGAGGAUGGGAGCGUGAUCCGGAUUGAUUGGGUUAAAAGGGUGCGUAGGCGGUCUUUUAAGUUAGUGGUUAAACGUCGGGGCUUCACCUUGAUUUGCCAUUAAUACUGUAAGACUCGAGUUCAGACGAGGUAGGCGGAAUAAGGUAAGUAGCGGUGAAAUGCUUAGAGAUAACUUAGAACUCCGAUAGCGAAGGCAGCUUACCAGACUGCGACUGACGCUGAAGCACGAGAGCGUGGGUAGCGAACAGGAUUAGAUACUCGGGUAGUC
Molecule: ribosomal RNA, 460 nt
Filed under: uncultured bacterium
Lineage: Bacteria
Description: partial 16S ribosomal RNA
Rfam family: Bacterial small subunit ribosomal RNA
Source: RNAcentral